Molecule: unclassified non-coding RNA, 22 nt
Filed under: Mus musculus (house mouse)
Lineage: Eukaryota; Metazoa; Chordata; Mammalia; Rodentia; Muridae
Description: oocyte_clustered_small_RNA12108
Source: RNAcentral
UUGUACACGUUGAUUCUCCUUG